CUUUGGUUGUUGCAGAUUGUAAUUCAUUCAACAGGACUUAACUCCAUUGGAAAGUUGUAAGUAUUGGCUGUUAUAAUGUUAUUGAUGUUAUUGUUUUUAAUUAUUUGUUUUGUUUGUUAUCUUCCUUAAUUACAGAUUGUUGUUCUGAUUACACAACAGGACCAGGACUUAGCUUCAUUGGGAAGUCAGUGGUGAGGAUGGGAAUUAUAUAAAAGUAUUUGGUGAAAGUGUUCAGAAUCAGUUUUAAUCAACUCUUAUUCUUUAUUUUGUUAUCUUCCAUCGACACAAAUGAUGUCAAAGAGCCAAUAGAAAGCCACAGAUUUAUGAAGGUAGAGAUUCUACUUUCAUCUUGUAUACUGGAACAAGAUUAUAUGCCAGCCUGCAUCCUUAAUUUAUCAGAUGAUGGCUAACCUGUAUGUUUAAACUUUAUAUAUCAGGCUUUUCAUCUUGUAUACUUGAAGAGAUUAUAUACCAGCCUGCAAAUUCUAAAUGUUUUAGUUGAUGGCCAACUUCAGUAUCCUUUACUUAAUAGAUGUAUGUCAGCCUGAUGAAAAUAGCAAACAGGAAGUUUUCAAGAGAUUGUUAUCUCAAAUCUGAAGUGGUUCAAUGCAAAACACGAGCUUCAUUCAAUGCUGGCCCUGCAUGGUAUUCACAAAGUGCCGUUAUUAGAUGAAAACUUAAUGGGAAUAAAUUUACCUGAUGUUUAGGUAAUGUUUGAUACUUCCAAUUGUGGAUAUUUUGAAAAAAAGGUGAAAAUGAAGGAAGGACAUCAACACACACGAACUUUUUUAUUAAUUAUAAAAUUGAGGAUGGAGAGUCAAAUAUAAUUUUAAAAUAUGAAAUGUGUGAAAGGCAAAGAGAGAGUCAGCUAGAUUUUGUGAAGAUUAUAUUUGUUCAUUUUAAAGCUCACUGCUUAUCUUCAAUGUUUGAUUAAAAAUGUUUUUUUUUUCUUCAAAAUUCAUUAUGUUAAAAUGUGAGAUAGUUAGAAUAUUCAUUUGUAAAGAUUUAUCCUGUUUCAUACUAUUGUUUCCAUUUUUUACGAGCUGUUUGACUAUAGACGGUCACUGCUAUUUUUUGUUUGUUUGUAUUUAUGGCUUAAACAAGAUUAUUCUAAGAGGAAUUGCAGUGUAUGAAAGACAGAAAGAAGGACUAUGUAAAGGUCUAUUCUUUUUCAGCAAAACAGCAGGUUCUUCUUUAUAACUUUUUGUAUUGAAAUAAUCAAGCACUUGCCAAUUUGUUUAAAUUGGAUAAAUCUUGGAUGAGUAUUACAUUAAUGUGUAUUGAAAACUGUAUUUUUAAAAAGGAUACACUAAAAAUAUUACAUACUAAAAAAUUUAAAUCAUAAACUUUCAUUUUAUAUCUAAAUUAUCACACUUAUGCAAUAUAUUAAGUGUACCAUUUUAUAUAUAUAUAUAUAUAUUUAUUUUUUUUUAGUUUUCAACACAGGAAGUGAAAUCUAAAUUGAAUGAGGAGCUAAUAGGUUGAAGUUAUGGCAAGGGGAGGGAAUAAACCUAUUUACCUCCUAUUACUGGUUUCUUCCUAUGAUGAAAGUUAAUUUAUCAUACUUGUAUUAUUUACAUGUAAUAUAUUUAAGGGACACAGAUGUUAUCAAAAUUUGCCAUUUUGUAGAGCUAAUAGUAAAGAAAUAAUGUAAACAAAAGAUAAAGAAAAAAAAAGAUAAAAGAAAAACUGUAAACUAAGUUCUAGGAAAUGGCAGUAUGGGAUUUUCUGAAAUUUAUAAGUUGUAUUGGAUCGAAAAGUAUUCUUACAACUUAAUAUAUCUGGUGUGUGUGAGGGAGAGAAAUAUAUUUUGUGGAGGUUUAUUUUCUUUCAGCCAAACAGCAGGCACUUCUUACAACUUUUUGUAGACUGGUCUCAAACAAGUUGCCAAACUUAACCUAUCAUUUGGUUUAGAUAAGAUAAAUCUAGAAGUGGAAGAUAGUAUUUUGAGAUGCUACUUUUUCUUUAAUUUGUUUUAUGGCUUGAAUCUAUGAACAAAGAAUAUACACUUGAAUAUGACAUGGAUCAAAAUUUAAUAAAUCAGCUCUCAUUGUUUUAAACAUCACAGUCAUGUUCUAUUCUAUGCGUAUCUAUGUCAUUUGUGAACCCCUUCAACACAGAAAGCAAAAUCCAUGUGAUGAAUGAGGAGCUAAUAGGGUUAAGUUUAUGGCAAGGGGAGGGAAUACACCUAUUUACCUCCUUAUUCUGGUCGCUUCCUUUGGUGAAAGGUAAUUAAUUAGACAUUAAUAGGAGCACAUCAGAUGUAAUCAAAAUUUGCCAUUUUGUAGAGCUUAGUAAAAACUGUAAACUAAGUUAUAGGAAAUAGCAGUAUGGGUUGGUUUGAAAUUUAAUGAUAUCUUUUGGAUAUUAAAUUCUUCUUUUUAUAUUUUAAAUUCAUCUGAUUUGCAUAUUUGAUAGAGAGAUAGAACAAGACUUUGUGAAGGUUUAUUCUGUUUCAAUCUAACAGCAGGUGCUUCUUUCAUCUAAUUGUAGUCAUCUCUUAUGACCAAUUUUCAAUAAAACUACUAAAACCUGCCAUUGGAUUAAGUUUGGAUGAAUCUAGAAGGAGGGUAAAGUAUUUCGAAUUUGAUUACCAGUACUUAAAAAAAUAAUUACAUUGUUUCUUAAUUUUCAAUAUUUGGAGUAAGAGCAUGAUAUUUUAUUAACAAAACAUUCAAGUGUUAUUUUUUUUUUUGCGUUUUGUGUAUGGUUAUUGAAAUAAUAAUAUUUCUUAAUAAAAGUUUAUAUUGAAAAUCAGCAA
This is a long non-coding RNA of Mytilus californianus (California mussel), 2761 nucleotides long. RefSeq lists it as uncharacterized. Lineage: Eukaryota; Metazoa; Mollusca; Bivalvia; Mytilida; Mytilidae. The transcript has 6 exons. The record is from RefSeq and is a predicted model, not a curated record.